Molecule: long non-coding RNA, 290 nt
Organism: Haplochromis burtoni (Burton's mouthbrooder)
Lineage: Eukaryota; Metazoa; Chordata; Actinopteri; Cichliformes; Cichlidae
Exons: 3
Source: RefSeq, a predicted model, not a curated record
ACUUCAGUGGUGAACCUGGACCAACGAGAGGUCAGAGGUCACAGUCUGCAGGGUCCAGCUGUCCGUCUGUGAGGAGUGACCGGUCCAAAGGUCAACAACCAGACAUCAGUGGUGAACCUGGACCAACGAGAGUGGACCAGCAGAGCUCAGAGGUUCCCAGUGGUCAGUCUGCCCAACAGCAUCAAACACAGCUGGACUCCAUAUUUAUGGUCUGUACAUGUACAACAACUACUUUACAUCUAUUCUGUUCACAGUCAUCUCCAUGCUGCUCUUUGUAGACCAGUGGAUUG